Molecule: long non-coding RNA, 696 nt
Organism: Glycine soja
Lineage: Eukaryota; Viridiplantae; Streptophyta; Magnoliopsida; Fabales; Fabaceae
Exons: 2
Source: RefSeq, a predicted model, not a curated record
ACCCCAGCAAAAAAUAAAAAAGAAAAAAAUAUCUCCCGACACUUUUAUCAGUUGAAUUUUCCUAACCAUAAUUAUAACUUCUCAUACAUACCCACGCAUGAUGUCAUUAUUCAUGUUAUCCGUUCAAUUAUUGCAAUAUUUAAAUGCACGACCAAGCAAACAUUUUUUCUCUUCUUUUCAUACCCAGUAGUUUUAAAAAAGAAUGCUUGGAGAAGCAAUAUCAUUAUAGUUAGGGUCAUAUGGAAAAGCCCCAUCAACAGUAGCAAGCGUGCCUAUAAUGUGAGGGAGCUUAAGGUGGCAUCUUCUCUGCCGCCGACAGUUGGGUCCUGACCGUACGAUAAGUGGGUAUCUCUCGUAGUUGUCCAGGCUAGAAACCGGCCUCAGGAUCAUCCAGCUAUAGGUGUGUUUCAGUUUUUCACACAUUAAAAAAAGGGGACACAAAAUCAUGGGUUUAUCCCUUCCUUAAUUCUUUAGUUCGGUUCUAUGGCAUUGAUGGAGCAAGCAAACAGUGAAUCAUCAUCAAUUAUGAUGGAUGUUUCGUACCUGUACUAUGCCAAAAUAGGUGGUGCAAUAUGCUAUUUGAUGGGCUUUUUCAGCAGGGAAGACCCGUGGCAAUGAUUAUAGAUGUUAACUGGCCAUGUGGGUGUGCUAUAUGUUAGUGUAAUAAUAUUAAUGCAUGGUUGUGCUCCCUUUAUA